Paramuricea clavata is the source of this 289-nucleotide non-coding RNA. Lineage: Eukaryota; Metazoa; Cnidaria; Anthozoa; Malacalcyonacea; Plexauridae. The record is from the annotation of a GenBank genome assembly.
AAAAACAUCAGUCGUCCAUUCGACAAUAGGCUACCCAUAGGAUUAUGGGUAGCCCACAUGUAAUCAUGCCUAAUCUUGUCCUCAAACUACACCUCUCACCUCCCACGCAUCCAUGUUUCCCCGGGGUGGGUGUGUGGGUGGUGGUAGUGGGGAGGUUUGGUUGUUCCGAUGACAAGUGCAUAAUACAUAUAGCAGAUUUAUGACAGACAAGGUGCUUGCUACAAAGACAAUUUCUUGAGUUUAAGAGUCCAAAUAAGUAAUAACACAACAUGCACAUUCAAAGUUGAAG